Molecule: ribosomal RNA, 798 nt
Filed under: uncultured bacterium
Lineage: Bacteria
Description: bacterial SSU rRNA
Rfam family: Bacterial small subunit ribosomal RNA
Source: RNAcentral
AGAGUUUGAUCAUGGCUCAGGAUGAACGCUAGCGGCAGGCUUAAUACAUGCAAGUCGAGGGGCAGCAUGGGUGUAGCAAUACAUCUGAUGGCGACCGGCAAACGGGUGCGGAACACGUACAGAACCUUCCUUCGAGCGGGGGGAUAGCCCAGAGAAAUUUGGAUUAAUACCCCAUAGUAUAUUGAAGAGGCAUCUCUUUAAUAUUAAAGAUUUAUCACUUGAAGAUGGCUGUGCGGCUGAUUAGGUAGUUGGCGGGGUAAUGGCCCACCAAGCCUGCGAUCAGUAACUGGUGUGAGAGCACGACCAGUCACACGGGCACUGAGACACGGGCCCGACUCCUACGGGAGGCAGCAGUAAGGAAUAUUGGGCAAUGGAGGCAACUCUGACCCAGCCAUGCCGCGUGGAGGAUGAAGGCCCUCUGGGUUGUAAACUUCUUUUAUAUGGGACGAAAAAGGGCUUUUCUAGGUCAACUGACGGUACCAUAUGAAUAAGCACCGGCUAACUCCGUGCCAGCAGCCGCGGUAAUACGGAGGGUGCAAGCGUUAUCCGGAUUCACUGGGUUUAAAGGGUGCGUAGGUGGGUUGGUAAGUCAGUGGUGAAAUCUCCGGGCUUAACCCGGAAACUGCCAUUGAUACUAUCAGUCUUGAAUAUUGUGGAGGUCAGCGGAAUAUGUCAUGUAGCGGUGAAAUGCUUAGAUAUGACAUAGAACACCAAUUGCGAAGGCAGCUGGCUACUCAUAUAUUGACACUGAGGCACGAAAGCGUGGGGAUCAAACAGGAUUAGAUACCCUAGUAGUCC